Molecule: long non-coding RNA, 1993 nt
Organism: Branchiostoma floridae (Florida lancelet)
Lineage: Eukaryota; Metazoa; Chordata; Leptocardii; Amphioxiformes; Branchiostomatidae
Exons: 3
Source: RefSeq, a predicted model, not a curated record
ACUGGCAUAAAUUUCGAUGUUAGAUGCUCAGAAUUGCUUUUAGGGCUAGACUAAAUAUGUGUGCACAACCUCUAUCAGAACUGGUAGGCAAACGCGUUCCAAUCAUUAUUUGCGGGCCAUUCUGUAGCGAUCUGCCAAUAUGUAGAUAGUCAUUUUUAGAUAGCAGAAUGGUCCGUAAAAAGUUGCCAAAUUUCUGUAUUCCGAGGUUCGCUGAGCAUCAGACUUUUUGUGUACCUUCCUAAAUGUCCGAUAGUAAUUUUACCGUUUUCGGUUUGCUCUCACUCACUCAGCGUACCGAGAUAUUGGGCCCGAAACUGACCAUGAAAGUAGCGUGUUUACUGUUAGCGGCGUCAUUUUUAGCCUCCACCAGGCCUUGCUACGGGGGUGCGGGGAUCGUACAAUUCGGGAAAAAAAUCGGGAAUUGGCCAAGGGAAUCAGUCCACGAUUAGAUUCGCAUUUCCCCUCCACGGCCGACCAACCUCUCUGGUAGCAAACCCUUGCCUUUGGCAAAUGAUUAUUCUCCUUAUGAAACCAGCGUAGUCAGUCUGGUAUUGAGGCUAUCCAUUUUUUGUUUUGACAUACGUCACAUGCACGUGUAUGGCGACAAGCGACUACUUUCAGCUCUCACUACAGUGCUAAAAUCUCUGCAUCCCGGAAAGCUAAGAAAAGAGAAGGACGUGGUCGAGGAAAAGCCCAAGUCAAAAGUUGACCUAAGGCAGCGGUUGGACUACAGUAAGAGGCUAGGAGACUAUGUGGUCAAAAACAUCUAUGAGAAGAAACAGGACUACACUUUCAAAAAGAAAGGUGUUGAAGGCUGUCAUACACAGGCAUCGGGAGUUUUGUGGUGGCUAGGUGCUCCAAAAGCCUGACUUUCCAGGCCAGACAAUAAAACUGCAAUUGCACAGUACCGUUCAAGGUUUACAGGCUAGUAAACGAGUCUCGUUUGGAACUCUACUGUUUUCAUGGUCAUGUUUUCUCAUUUUUGUUAUGUUUUUUUUAGCAUACAUGCUUUAUAUGACAAAACUACAUGUAGUUUCUGUUUUGAACGUUUCAAAACUGCUGCUCCUAUUUCUCUUAGACACAAGAAAUGUGAAAAUAUAAAUAUUAAUUCAUGAACAUGCAACUUGAACAUGUUGGCAGUAGCCCAUAUACUUCAGGUUAAAUCCAGGUAGAUCCUGAUAUACUGAUUUUAUAUGACAGGCUAUAUUAUUAUGUUAAUAAGGACAAGUUCCCAUUGUAUAUCCAGUGGAUCAUUUUAUUCAUAAAUAUCCUGCCUACAUAUGUCAGAAACAAAUGCUGUUUUACAACAAUAUAUGUGUGUCCACCAAAGUUUUCCCUGCCUAUUUUUGAAAAUUACACAGAAAUGUAAUUGUAUAUUGAUAUAAAAUACAUGUCUAUCUUGCUGUAUAUCUAGUUCAAAGGAAUAUGAAAAUAAGGAUACUUAAUAUGUUCAAGGUUUCUAUUUGGCCUGUUGUAUAAACCAUGAAUAGGUAGAUAAAUUUAUACAGGUGAGGUAGAUAGAUGUCCGCAUUUGGUUGAAUGCACCUGUUAUAGUGCAAAUAAUGUGGAAACUGUGUAACACUGUUAUCAAGAUUGUUUUAUUUUAGCAGUAAAGCCUCACCCUAAUUCUAAUUCUAACCCCAAGCUUAACAAGAAUGGAUAACCCUAACAGUAAAAAGUUAGUAGAAUACAGAUUUAUAGAUCACUCUCUGGUUUAACGUCAGAUCAAUUUAGCAAUUGAACAUGUGGUGGCGAAAUAUCUUAACAGGAAAAUGUCCUAUGUAAUUAGUCUCAUCUUUAGAGGGAUAAGUCUGUCUUAUUUUGGUGACUGCACAGGCUGGAACCACCGCCACACUGAUCUCCCAAGAUGAUUCUUGUGGACCCAGCACGAAAACUGUCUGUACGCUGACAGUUGUAAGAUUCUGGGAGAAACAAAAUGCAUGUAAAUUGUAAUGUUAUAUUUUUUUUGUAUUAAAAGAUUGCAACAAGUACA